This 72-nucleotide transfer RNA is filed under the name Pseudovirgaria hyperparasitica. It matches the Rfam family "tRNA". From Rfam's summary of the family: Transfer RNA (tRNA) molecules are approximately 80 nucleotides in length. Their secondary structure includes four short double-helical elements and three loops (D, anti-codon, and T loops). Lineage: Eukaryota; Fungi; Ascomycota; Dothideomycetes; Acrospermales; Acrospermaceae. The record is from Rfam by way of RNAcentral.
AGCUCAAUGGCGCAGCGGAAGCGCGCCGGGCUCAUAACCCGGAGGACAGUGGAUCGAAACCACUUUGAGCUA